CGAAAUGCGAUAAGUAGUGUGAAUUGCAGAAUUCAGUGAAUCAUCGAAUCUUUGAACGCACAUUGCGCCCCUCGGCAUUCCGUGGGGCAUGCCUGUUCGAGCGUCAUCUACACCCUCAAGCUCUGCUUGGUGUUGGGCGUCUGUCCCGCCUCCGCGCGCGGACUCGCCCCAAAUGCAUUGGCAGCGGUUCCUUGCCCCCCUCUUUGCGCAGCACAUUGCCAUUCGAGGCGGCGGCGGCCCGCGUCCAACAAGCUCAACCCCCCCGUCUUUGACCUCGGAUCAGGUAGGGAUACCCGCUGAACUUAAGC
This 308-nucleotide unclassified non-coding RNA is filed under the name plant metagenome. Its description in RNAcentral is "partial contains 5.8S ribosomal RNA, internal transcribed spacer 2, and large subunit ribosomal RNA". The stretch from base 1 to 106 matches the Rfam family "5.8S ribosomal RNA", at positions 49 to 154 of the family's 154-position model. The record is from RNAcentral.